RNAcentral lists this ribosomal RNA (461 nucleotides) under Streptococcus mitis. RNAcentral describes it as "bacterial SSU rRNA". It matches the Rfam family "Bacterial small subunit ribosomal RNA", at positions 28 to 474 of the family's 1533-position model. Lineage: Bacteria; Bacillati; Bacillota; Bacilli; Lactobacillales; Streptococcaceae. The record is from RNAcentral.
GACGAACGCGGCGGCGUGCCUAAUACAUGCAAGUAGAACGCUGAAGGAGGAGCUUGCUCUUCUGGAUGAGUUGCGAACGGGUGAGUAACGCGUAGGUAACCUGCCUGGUAGCGGGGGAUAACUAUUGGAAACGAUAGCUAAUACCGCAUAAGAGUAGAUGUUGCAUGACAUUUGCUUAAAAGGUGCAAUUGCAUCACUACCAGAUGGACCUGCGUUGUAUUAGCUAGUUGGUGAGGUAACGGCUCACCAAGGCAACGAUACAUAGCCGACCUGAGAGGGUGAUCGGCCACACUGGGACUGAGACACGGCCCAGACUCCUACGGGAGGCAGCAGUAGGGAAUCUUCGGCAAUGGACGGAAGUCUGACCGAGCAACGCCGCGUGAGUGAAGAAGGUUUUCGGAUCGUAAAGCUCUGUUGUAAGAGAAGAACGAGUGUGAGAGUGGAAAGUUCACACUGUGACG